RNAcentral lists this ribosomal RNA (301 nucleotides) under uncultured bacterium. RNAcentral's name for it is "partial 16S ribosomal RNA". It matches the Rfam family "Bacterial small subunit ribosomal RNA", at positions 509 to 809 of the family's 1533-position model. The record is from RNAcentral.
CAGUAGCCACGGGAAUACGUAGGUGGCAAGCGUUGUCCGGAAUUAUUGGGCGUAAAGGGCUCGCAGGCGGCUUCUUAAGUCUGAUGUGAAAGCCCCCGGCUCAACCGGGGAGGGUCAUUGGAAACUGGGAAACUUGAGUGCAGAAGAGGAGAGUGGAAUUCCACGUGUAGCGGUGAAAUGCGUAGAGAUGUGGAGGAACACCAGUGGCGAAGGCGACUCUCUGGUCUGUAACUGACGCUGAGGAGCGAAAGCGUGGGGAGCGAACAGGAUUAGAUACCCGAGUAGUCCCUGUCUCUUAUAA